Molecule: ribosomal RNA, 468 nt
Filed under: uncultured bacterium
Lineage: Bacteria
Description: partial 16S ribosomal RNA
Rfam family: Bacterial small subunit ribosomal RNA
Source: RNAcentral
GACGAACGCUGGCGGCGUGCUUAACACAUGCAAGUCGAACGGAAAGGCCCUGCUUUUGUGGGGUGCUCGAGUGGCGAACGGGUGAGUAACACGUGAGUAACCUGCCCUUGACUUUGGGAUAACUUCAGGAAACUGGGGCAAAUAACGGAUAGGAGCUCCUGCUGCAUGGUGGGGGUUGGAAAGUUUCGGCGGUUGGGGAUGGACUCGCGGCUUAUCAGCUUGUUGGUGGGGGAGUGGCUUACCAAGGCUUUGACGGGUAGCCGGCCUGAGAAGGUGACCGGCCACAUUGGGACUGAGACACGGCCCAGACUCCUACGGGAGGCAGCAGUGGGGAAUAGUGCACAAUGGGCGGAAGCCUGAGUCAGCAACGCCGCGUUCGGGAUGACUGCCUUCGGUUUGUAAACCGCUUUCGCCUGGGACGAAGCGUGAGUGGCGGUAAUGUGUAGAGAAGCACCGGCUAACUACGUG